Ictidomys tridecemlineatus (thirteen-lined ground squirrel) is the source of this 109-nucleotide small nuclear RNA. The record is from Ensembl. Lineage: Eukaryota; Metazoa; Chordata; Mammalia; Rodentia; Sciuridae.
GUGCUGGCUUCAGCAGCAUAUAAACACUAAAAUUGGAAUGAUACAGAGAAGAUUAACAUGGCCCCUGGGCAAGGAUAACAUGCAAAUUCAUGAAGCGUUCCAUAUUUUA